Molecule: ribosomal RNA, 472 nt
Filed under: uncultured bacterium
Lineage: Bacteria
Description: bacterial SSU rRNA
Rfam family: Bacterial small subunit ribosomal RNA
Source: RNAcentral
UGGGGAAUUUUGCGCAAUGGGCGAAAGCCUGACGCAGCGACGCCGCGUGUGCGAUGAAGGCCUUUGGGUCGUAAAGCACUGUCGACAGGGAAGAAAGCUCGUCGGAUAACACCCGGCGAGGUUGACGGUACCUGUAAAGGAAGCACCGGCUAACUCUGUGCCAGCAGCCGCGGUAAUACAGAGGGUGCAAACGUUGCUCGGAUUUACUGGGCGUAAAGGGCGCGUAGGCGGCAUGACAAGUCACUUGUGAAAUCUCUGGGCUUAACCCAGAACGGCCAAGUGAUACUGUCGCGCUAGAGUGCAGAAGGGGCAAUCGGAAUUCUUGGUGUAGCGGUGAAAUGCGUAGAUAUCAAGAGGAACACCUGAGGUGAAGACGGGUUGCUGGGCUGACACUGACGCUGAGGCGCGAAAGCCAGGGGAGCAAACGGGAUUAGAUACCCUUGUAGUCCCUGAGCGGGCUGGCAAGGCGCAU